This is a long non-coding RNA of Oryzias sinensis (Chinese medaka), 3107 nucleotides long. NCBI's taxonomy places the organism in Eukaryota, Metazoa, Chordata, Actinopteri, Beloniformes, Adrianichthyidae. The record is from Ensembl.
UUUUUUGCCCAAAUCCAACAUUAUUUAGAUUAUUUGUUAUCCAGUACAAAAAAACACUUUCUCAGUUUACUAGAUUAACAUAAUUUUACUUUUAUAACCCCUAGCGUUUAUCUAUCAAAAUUAAUGUACAGAGUAUUGCUCUAUGUUCCUUGCUGUUUGUCAUUUUUGGUUUUUAAAUAAAGAUUUGUCCAAAAAAUCUGACAGCGUAACCUUUUCCCCGGAAGUACAAAUUGUAAACACGGGGUGUCUUUAAUGCUAGGUUACGUCCUACCAAGCUAGAAAAAUGUCGAAAAAUAUAAGAAUAGCGCUGAUUUUCGGGGGUUUUAUAACAACAGUCGCCGCUGCUUUAUAUCCUAUUUUCGUCUAUCCUCUGACGCACAGAGACGAGUACAGACAAACUCAGAGGAUAAAUCGGUCCGGAAUAAACCAGGAAGAUGUGCAGCCUGUGGGUCUAAAAGUUUGGUCUGAUCCCUUCAAGCCUGCUGAGAAGUAAUAAGCUCCUCCCUCCUCGCCGCCCUCCGGCGCUCCCGGACAGGAAGACCAGGGAGCCAAAAAACUUUUCUGAUAAAUGUGUGAGUGUGUGUGUGCGUGUGUGCACGUGUGCGUGUGUGCGUGGCUUAUGUCAUGAGUGUUUGCUGAAAACUUUUUGAACUGAAUAAACUUCAAGAACUUAUGAAAACGUUCAUACUUUGUUUUACAUUUCUUUAAGACAUGACAUUUUUUUUCCUGCUAUUAGAUUAUAAAAGAAAUCUUUUAAGGUGGAAUUAGUUGUUAAGCACUUUGUGUCCACAGGGGGGCGCUGCAUGCCUGCAAAGUGUUUCAGAGAGCUCCCAGCAGCUGCAGGAUUUAUUUUGGAAAACGGCUUCUGAAAAGUGUCACUCGGGUAUGCGGCCUGUAGGAAGUUCUUCUGAAAGAUUCCUCAAUAGACAGCUCAACGGCUGCAUGAGUGAAGUAAGCAACCAGAGGGGAAGCUGCAGCGAGCGGUUAAAGGAAGAGAACCGCAUUCUUCAGGGGGAGCGUCACCCGCACAUAGAAUGGAGAGACACUCAAUCUCUGUUUCUGUGCUGGUCUGCGUGGAGCAGGUUUGUGCAACAACCCCCCCCCCCCCCCUUUUUUUUGAGCAUUUCAUUCAGGCCCCAGCUCUAUUUCACACACAAAUUUCAAUGUGCUUUUUCCUUGAAGAGGGGCCUCAAGUUGAGGCCUCGCUCUGCAGAUAGUAGACACCCGUGUCUAUAAAACAUUCAGUAGGGCCGCCGCACGCCGUGAACCAAACACAGACGCUCUGCCGCACUUUUACUGCAUCGCCGUUAACCUAUCACACAAAUCUCUGCGCUCCAUUGAGGAGGAUUUGCAAGGAGGCGUUCACCUUUUGUCACUUUGUUUAGCUGAAAUAAUUGACCCGAGGUUCUGACUAAUUAUCUGUAAAGCAGGAGCCGACUACAGACAGAUCAGCUCUGACGUCAUCCAUAGGGCCAGAACUGUUGACGGUAUACGAAAACUGGACUGAUGACCCCUCCCCCUUUGUAUUCCAAACAGAAAACACCCCCUGGCUCCCAGAGGCCUUCUAGUUCUAGGAAAUUUCGGUCUUUUGUGUGUUUUAUACGUCAUUCACGUUUUUCUUGCGUUCUUCAUUCGUCGAUGUGCACUUAUGUCCGUCGAGAGUUCCGGCCGAAAGGUCUUUACAGGAAUUUGAUUUUGAGUUGCUCCUAUUUUUUGGUCGGUUGAGAAUUACGCAGGGUACGCGUAUUUUACGUGGUUACAAUUAUUACGCAAAUCUUGAGCAAUUGAGCGCGAUUUACGCGUAUGUCUAACGGACUUUUCACGCAUGUACCACCAAUGUCUAACUUUUUUUCUCACGGAUACGGGGCACACAUCACGUAAACAUUCUGUCAUCGACACACAAAUCACUAACGAAUUGCAUUUAAACAGCUCAAAAUCCCACGCCGUUCAAGCUCUACAUUGAUUUACGUGUUCCUCUUCGGAUUCAUUCGUAAUUCUUCCGUAGUUUUAAAGUGGUUCAUUUGUGAUACAUUUGUGAAAAUUUCUUGUAAAGACCAUAACUUUUCUCACUUUUUUCCACGCAUAUUCAAAUAUGACCAAUUUUCAUCCGUGCACUAUGCGCAAAAAUGUACAUAAUGGAAUUUUUGCAUUCUUGCUAAGGGGCCUGUUUUUGCAGUGCACUGUUCUGAGUCAAAGAAAACAAAAUCUUUUUCUCUGAACUAGACCACUCUCCAUUCACAAAUAAACAAAAAAAACAUUUAGAGUACAAAAAAAUGACUUGUUUCAUUACAAAUAAAAUAUGUUUUUUAAAAUCAAAUGACUCAACAAGAUGGUCAAGAUUUAUUGUCCCACACCUUAUUGAAAAGUUAAGUUUAGUUUCAUAUCAAGUGUAGUAAAACAUUCAAACUAGAACCCAGACCAAAAUAUUUGGGGAUAUUUUGUUUCUUUGCAGUGUAAAUGUGCUUUUCUUCAUUUCUGUCCUUAAGAGCAUCAUAUCUUUUUGAUAUCUGGAUCCGAGAUUUCCCGCCGUUCCAGAUUAGUCUGGAAUUUUCUUUUGCGAAGCUUAACAUCGCCCCUUUAUAGUCAGUCUGUGAAAAUGCCCACAGUGUGGUUUCAUUCCCAGCUGUCAUUAGAAACUAUCUGUCUGGAUUUACGGCGCAGGAAGCUGUAAACAUAGCAGGUUAGGAAGUUGUAAACAUGAGCAACAAUUUCCUGUAUUUGCUACCGAACGGAGUAAACCAAACAAGGAAGCCAUCAGUUUGUCAAAUUUAGCGGUACUGACUAAUAAAGCAAAGACAGCUGCAAAAACAAGCAAAAGUUUAGCUAACUUUAAGUGUUUUUCAAAGAUCUGUUGUGUGUUGACUUUGUUUUGAGACCCAAAUGAGAUGCAGAUGCUUGUAACUGAAAGGAAAUGAUAUAUUUUGGGUAAAUCCUUUGAAAAUGGGGGGACAAUAUAGACUCUACUACAAAGAGGUGGAAAGGACAUGUUUUGACUUGAUGACAUCUAGUGGUUAAGUUGUAGAUUGCAGUCAAAUUCAGUGACGGGUAGGGAUGGGUACCGUGCCCCGGUAUUGAACCAGCCCCGGGGCCACAUUCUGCAAGACCGC